Molecule: transfer RNA, 73 nt
Filed under: Chlorobiota bacterium
Lineage: Bacteria; Pseudomonadati; Chlorobiota
Also listed under: 1 other name
Description: Chlorobi bacterium tRNA-Ile
Rfam family: tRNA
About the family: Transfer RNA (tRNA) molecules are approximately 80 nucleotides in length. Their secondary structure includes four short double-helical elements and three loops (D, anti-codon, and T loops).
Source: RNAcentral
GGGCCUGUAGCUCAAUGGUUAGAGCAGCGGACUCAUAAUCCGUUGGUUGGGGGUUCAACUCCCUCCGGGCCCA